RNAcentral lists this ribosomal RNA (863 nucleotides) under Salmonella enterica. RNAcentral describes it as "partial 23S ribosomal RNA". It matches the Rfam family "Bacterial large subunit ribosomal RNA", at positions 636 to 1503 of the family's 2925-position model. RNAcentral also lists the same sequence under 1 other name. The record is from RNAcentral. Lineage: Bacteria; Pseudomonadati; Pseudomonadota; Gammaproteobacteria; Enterobacterales; Enterobacteriaceae.
UGUAGCAAGGUUAACCGAAUAGGGGAGCCGGAGGGAAACCGAGUCUUAAUUGGGCGUUAAGUUGCAGGGUAUAGACCCGAAACCCGGUGAUCUAGCCAUGGGCAGGUUGAAGGUUGGGUAACACUAACUGGAGGACCGAACCGACUAAUGUUGAAAAAUUAGCGGAUGACCUGUGGCUGGGGGUGAAAGGCCAAUCAAACCGGGAGAUAGCUGGUUCUCCCCGAAAGCUAUUUAGGUAGCGCCUCGUGAAUUCAUCUCCGGGGGUAGAGCACUGUUUCGGCUAGGGGGCCAUCCCGGCUUACCAACCCGAUGCAAACUGCGAAUACCGGAGAAUGUUAUCACGGGAGACACACGGCGGGUGCUAACGUCCGUCGUGAAGAGGGAAACAACCCAGACCGCCAGCUAAGGUCCCAAAGUCAUGGUUAAGUGGGAAACGAUGUGGGAAGGCCCAGACAGCCAGGAUGUUGGCUUAGAAGCAGCCAUCAUUUAAAGAAAGCGUAAUAGCUCACUGGUCGAGUCGGCCUGCGCGGAAGAUGUAACGGGGCUAAACCAUGCACCGAAGCUGCGGCAGCGACGCUGAUGCGUUGUUGGGUAGGGGAGCGUUCUGUAAGCCUGCGAAGGUGGCCUGUGAGGGUUGCUGGAGGUAUCAGAAGUGCGAAUGCUGACAUAAGUAACGAUAAAGCGGGUGAAAAGCCCGCUCGCCGGAAGACCAAGGGUUCCUGUCCAACGUUAAUCGGGGCAGGGUGAGUCGACCCCUAAGGCGAGGCCGAAAGGCGUAGUCGAUGGGAAACGGGUUAAUAUUCCCGUACUUGGUGUUACUGCGAAGGGGGGACGGAGAAGGCUAUGUUGGCCGGGCGACGGUU